RNAcentral lists this ribosomal RNA (254 nucleotides) under uncultured bacterium. RNAcentral describes it as "partial 16S ribosomal RNA". It matches the Rfam family "Bacterial small subunit ribosomal RNA", at positions 524 to 776 of the family's 1533-position model. The record is from RNAcentral.
UACGAAGGGGGCUAGCGUUGCUCGGAAUCACUGGGCGUAAAGCGCACGUAGGCGGACUUUUAAGUCGGUGGUGAAAUCCUGGAGCUCAACUCCAGAACUGCCUCCGAUACUGAGAGUCUUCGAGUCCGGGAGAGGUGAGUGGAACUGCGAGUGUAGAGGUGAAAUUCGUAGAUAUUCGCAAGAACACCAGUGGCGAAGGCGGCUCACUGGCCCGGUACUGACGCUGAGGUGCGAAAGCGUGGGGAGCGAACAGG